Molecule: long non-coding RNA, 482 nt
Filed under: Vombatus ursinus (common wombat)
Lineage: Eukaryota; Metazoa; Chordata; Mammalia; Diprotodontia; Vombatidae
Description: lncRNA (ENSVURG00010024059.1)
Source: RNAcentral
GAGCGGAGACGGGGAGCGAAAAAUCCGGGAUCCGGCAACUUUGGGGCGCGCAUGCGCGCCCGCCGCGCUCCAUCCCAAACACACACACAUUUUUCCCCCGGACUUGGAAAGUCACCCAAAGCCGCCCCAAGUGCAGGCCCAACAGACGCCGCUGAUUGAAGGCAAAGAUCUCUUCCCCUCCCGUCUCCGUCUCUGCUUACAGUCAUCGGCCCCUCCUUGCCAAGGGGAAGGAGAAAAGCCCCAGCAGGUUGGAAUGGACUUCAGACCCUGGCCCUUCUGGAUGCAAGGAUGAAGUGAUCCCGCCAGCCACAAACCAGCCGAGAGGCCAAGGAGCGAUCCCCCACAAGGUAAGGCCUCUGGUCCAGUCUGUCAAGGGGGAGGAAGGCUUUCCUGGGCCCGGGGCGGGGGGGUCACCCAGUGCUGACGGCAGAAGGCACGCGCCUGACACCCCACUCCCCGGGUGGAGAGAGGCUGGAGGCAGA